This 420-nucleotide ribosomal RNA is filed under the name uncultured fungus. Its description in RNAcentral is "eukaryotic LSU rRNA". It matches the Rfam family "Eukaryotic large subunit ribosomal RNA", at positions 1 to 422 of the family's 3401-position model. The record is from RNAcentral. Lineage: Eukaryota; Fungi.
GACCUCGGAUCAGGUAGGGAUACCCGCUGAACUUAAGCAUAUCAAUAAGCGGAGGAAAAGAAACCAACAGGGAUUGCCUCAGUAACGGCGAGUGAAGCGGCAACAGCUCAAAUUUGAAAUCUGGCCUUCGGGUCCGAGUUGUAAUUUGCAGAGGAUGCUUCGAGCAUGGUCUAGUCUAAGUUCCUUGGAAUAGGACGUCAUAGAGGGUGAGAAUCCCGUAUGCGACUGGGUGCCUAAGCUCAUGUGAAGCUCCUUCGACGAGUCGAGUUGUUUGGGAAUGCAGCUCAAAAUGGGUGGUAAAUUUCAUCUAAAGCCAAAUAUUGGCCAGAGACCGAUAGCGCACAAGUAGAGUGAUCGAAAGAUGAAAAGCACUUUGGAAAGAGAGUUAAAUAGCACGUGAAAUUGUUGAAAGGGAAGCGC